CCUCUGUUCCAUCUCUGUUCUCCCCAUCCCCAGCUGUCACAUGGCAUCAUCCUCAGAGUCCCUGCAGAUGCUGUGCUGUGGUGUGCUUAGAUCCAUCUUUCCUACGUUCUCUGUUCAAGCUAGUUGUUUAAGAGUCCAUGCUGAAGUGUCCAGCCCUGGUGCUAAUGGGAAAACUAAUUCUCUAAAACUGAUGAAAACUAUUGAGAACCCUAGGAAGGUAAAACCCAGGACCCAAAGUGAGUAUUUCAAUGACGAUGGGGAUGCUGAAAUCAGAGAACAAAGGAAUUGCUGUCAGCUUUGGCAUCUGCUGCUGUACUGUGCAAUAUGGCUACCCAUGGCUUCUCUGACAUGAUGAACUGUAUCCUUGAACUGGGAGCCCAAAUUAUCCUUUCUUCCAUAAGUUGCUUUUGUUGGAGUAUUUUUAUGAUAGCAACAGGAAAGAUGAAGACCACCCGGAUGGACAAAGAGGACCCACUACUUGGCCCCGUUCCUGGAUUAGUGGUCUUUACUCACUUUUGUGAUAAGUAGCUGGCCCCACUUACUAAAACCAGCAUCACAAACUCAAAUACUUGGCAAGAGCAACAGCCCAGGGGACUUAACAGCUGAAUCAACAAACACCCUCACUCUCCUGCUACCAUCUUAGAGCCUGUGUGUGAGCUGUGCUGAAGAUUGAUGCUACUAUGCCUAGAGAAACUGCAAAAUUUCCUGAAUAUCACAUAUAUUUCUAUUAAAAGCAUACCUGUAAUACUACUCUAUGAGGAACAGAAAUGCACAGAUCUCCAUGUCAUUAUUACAGUGGCUUCAUAACUUGAAGGAACUAAGUCAAACAUUAAGAACAGAUAUGUUUUGAGCGUUUUAAGGGGAUUUUUAUCCAGAUAACCUUUAUCAAGGGGCAGUUCCCAUGUAUGCUGAUGGCAAAUACCAACACUCAUGACGGCUUCCGAACUCUUACCUUUCAUCAACUACACCUAGGACUCAGAGCUUCCUGUCUGGAAGGAACUAGUAAGAACUGUUGGCCAGUCCUUGAGCAGAUACCUGGUCUCAUGAUAUGAUUAACUUCAGGAGUAUUGAAUUUUCCAGUCAUCCACGGACUUUCCCUUGCUCAAUAUGUGACACUGGGGAUGGGAUAAUCAGAGACUUUUGUUAUCUUAGUUUCAGGUGACCAUUCCAAGUUGAAAUGGAGAUGUCUUUGACAGGGAAAUACAUCACUUUUAAAUAUCAAUCAUUAACUGCUCAGAAUGAAACCUCUUUAUCUGGUCCUUCACUAAAAACAGGCUAUAACUGAAGGGCAAAUUAUAUAAAGGAAAAGAGCAUGGUGGUUGUUUGAGAUGGCUAAGAAACUAUGCCUAAGAGAGAACAGAGAUAGAGGGACAGAUUUGGAGGCUAAGAAUCCAUGCCCAAGAGAGAACAGAGAUAGAGGGAGAGAUUGGGAGGCUAAGAAUACAUGCCCAAGAGAGAACAGAGAUAGAGGGAGAGAUUGGGAGGCUAAGAAUCCAUGCCCAAGAGAGAACAGAGAUAGAGGAAGAGAUUGGGAGGCUGAGAAUCCAUGCCCAAGAGAGAACAGAGAUAGAAGGGAGAGAUGGGGAGGCUCAGGAAAGAAAUAAUUUUUUUUUUUUACCAAAACUACAAUUUUCUCUAAAGACUAGUAUGUUCCUAGUCUCUCAAGGAAUGGUUUGCUAUUUAAUUUUCAUUUUAUCAAAUAUUAAAUACAAAGGGAGAAUAUUGACCACUAAUUUCUAAAACAUAAAUUACUUGAAGAUAGGACAUAAUUUAAUUAACCUCAGAAUUCGAUUUUUAGUGAUUAUUCCUAAAAGAUCUAUUGGAAAUGAACAACAUAUUAGAUUAUCUAAAGAGAAGGCUAAAAGACAGGAGUCUGGUGGAACUCUGAGUUUUGAGAAUCAGUCAAUAACACACAUUUUCAUACUUUUUAGUCAUAUAUAUUUAUAUUUGGUGUGUAUGUGUCCACACAUGCAUGCAUACAUGUAUUGGAUAAGGAUGAGGAGGACAUCAGAGGUCAACAUUGUCAUCAAAGACCUAAAAGAUACAGGGAUGGAGGUUGCUAUUAGAACAUUGUUUAUUUCACCAGAAAGUGACAAGAGUUUACCACAGCCUCAGUUGCAGCUGCUGGGUCAGAUGUAGUGUCAUUGUGACAACAGAUUACUAAGACUUCCCAUCUUUGCUGUGUAGUUACUGAUUUAGCAAAUGUAUUCUUUUCCUUUAUAAUUAUAACAGAAAAUGAAAAGUUUGUGUUUAUGUGGGUUAGAAAAUAGUCACUUAAAGCUUUCCUGUGUUCCUAGACUUCUGCUAUAAUAAUACCGUCUGAAGGGGUCUGCACUAUAAGAAUAUGCUACAUAACAACACCCCAACCCACUAAACAUAUAACAUCAUACUGAAUGAAGAAUACUCCAGAUAGUGAGAAUAAACUUCAGUAAGUUUCAAGGGAUGGCCAGUUCUCUGAGGUCUUAUGAGUCCAGUGACUAUGAAUGUACUGCACUGUCUCCUACAGGACAAAUUAAGCACAAUAUUAUACAUUGUGUCACCAAAAGGAAGGAUAGGCCACUUUGAACUCUGAGAUCAAAAAUAUCUAUAUGUAGGAAAGCCACUGUUUUCCAUAUACUGAGUACUCUGAAGAUUGCCAGUUCAAGGGGAACCCCAUGCAUCUCUGUGUCAGCGCAGCAUUCCUGAAGACCCUGCAGCAUUAGAGAAGUGGAAGAUGCAGACAGAGACAAUACAGCUCACAACAAUCUUCAGCAAGAGAAGUGUGCUACCUUCAGGAGUCAAGAGUGAAGUCAUGUAAUCCACAGCUGAAAAUAAUAAGAUUGUUGGGAAAUAACUCUUGGUGUCAGUAGGUCUUGGUAGAGCAAGAGUGCUUGACCCUUGAAGAAUCAACUGAAUCUACACCCAAAACUUCCCAGUAUUUCCUGAAUUCAAUGGGAACUGCCAAGACACAAAUUGAGAUGGAAAAUUCUAUAACCACAAUUGAAUACAAACAGGUCGAGGGGGAGGGCACAAGAAAACUGCAUGUGGAGAUAGCCCAGACUUCCAGGUUAGCUCUCAGAGAUGCAUCAGAUUGUCUUUUACACAAGACAGUACAUGUUGCGAUAGAAAGGCGGGACUUAUGUACCCAGAUGGAGCAGGAAAAGAGGCUGAGCAUGAUCUGCUGUGGGUUAGCUUCAGUGGUUGUCAGCUGGAGAUGAACAGCAACUUCAUGACACAACUGUGGGCAUCCCGAGUUACAGCAGGGAGGACAGAAUUGCUUAACAAGAUCUGUGAACAGGUCGGCAGGUCAUUCUUUUCCUGGAGAGACAUGACCUCAGGUGGGAUGGAGAGCUCAAAGGUCCAGGUAGAAGAGACGUAGAAGAGAAGAAAAGAGGAAAUAGCUACAGCCAUAGAAGGGAUAUGUAGGUCAGUUACACUAAGGGCAAAGGAUUUUGUAUCACAUACUGAGGCCCACUAGGAAGUACACGUCAAAACCAACUAAGAAUCAAGGGCACACAAUGUCUCAUCUAACUGACAUUGGCUAGCCUUUUGUCACUGGCAACCUUCAGACUAGAUUGGGUAGCGUCUGAGGAAAACAGACAAGGUAAGAAAGACAUGGGCUAUACGUUGGUCGGUCUGAAAGAUGGACUUCCCUUUGCCAAGCUGGAUAACAGUUACUGAUGAUGAUGUUAAUCCAAACUGCCAGCAGUAGAGACAAACACAUUUGCCAAUACAUCACCAUUCCCCCAGAAAGCCAACUAGCCACUUAGUGACAAGUGUAUUACACUUGGUCCCUUGCCAUUUCAGUGUUAUCAGUGUCUUCACAGACAAUGGGCACCAUUUGCUUCUACUGCACUUGGAGCUUCUACUCUGCUAUACAGAAUGCCUAAUCCAUAGCAUCUAAUUCCACAGAUCCAGCCUCUGAAUUAGAGCCUUCUUCACAUGAUAGGAGAGUGGACCCAGGAUACAAUCUUCUGACCUUAAGCUGUCUUGAAACAUACAGGCAGCCUUUCCCAUUGGACAAUGAAGCAGCCUUUUAAAGGUUUCACAAAAGUGACACAUGGUGUAUUCAUGAAAAACACUCUACAAGGCACUUUGCCUCAAAUAGUGAAGAUAUAAGGAGACCAAGAAGUUGGAGGAGGUGUGGUUCUAUUUACUGUAAUUCUCAAUGAUACAUUGAUUCAUGUUUCAUGUCACACAAUCCUAGACCCUACAGGGUCUGAGGUCCUGGCAUCCAAAAGUGUCUCUCUUAACAAGAAACACCACAAAUUCCUGGAAAAUUUAAAGUUAUGGCUGCCCCUGGGGCUCUUUGAACUUCUUGUGGCCAUAUAUGAGCAAACAGAAAGAACAGUCAUUCUCCAAGCAUGCCUAACAGACCUCGAGAAGCAUAUGCAAGGAGAUGGCUUUUACACAAUAAAACAGGAAGGAAAAAUGAAAAAUUUGAAAUAACAUAUAAAAAUUGGGGGCCUCCUGGGAUGUGUAGUGAGAUGCCUAGACCAGCUGAGGAUGAGAAAGCAUAAGGUGGCCAUGGAGGAUGGAGAGGAGGAGAACAAUUGUGCUACCAUGGAAAACUGGAUCGCCAAGGGUGUAGUCCCUCUUUUGAACUUAGGCAGAUCAAGUAGACUCUACAUAAGUAAAGAUACAGCAAAUGUAAAUAUGCAAAAAGGUAGGGCAAGCUUUUGUAGACUAGAACUUACAUCUGACAAAAGUAUUAUUUUCUUGUCAUAUAAACAUUAAAUAUUAAAAAAGUGAACAACCAAUGGGUCAAAAGGAAAACAGGAUCAAGUUCAGUAAAACAGAAUGACAGCUUUAUCACAAUGCAAUAUAACCUCAAGUGUAUAUUACAGUGGGAAGAAGCCUAUCCAAAAUGCUUUCUACUGUAAUUCCAACCCCACAUGACAUACUGCCCAAACAAUGGAGACGAUACAAAGAUAACCAGUUGCUAUGGUUUUUAACAUGAAUAGGAAGACUACAGAUGAGGUUUAGGACAAUGACACUAUUCAUGAAACUACAAUGAUGGAGAUGUGCCAUUAUGAAUUUGUCUAAACUCUUAAGAUGUACAGCAUUGAGUGAUAUAACAUGCAUAAUAUGCAUAUAAUGUGCAUGUAUAUUUAAUCAAAUGUGACGAUCAUUUCCAAUUAAAAAAAUAGAAAUUGAUAGCUUUUUUAAUGUAGUCAAAUAUGUACAUACUUUAAUCCUGAUCCCUGAAUUUACAUCAGGAGAAACCACUCCAUUUCCAGGGAGCGUAGGGGCCAGGCAAAGUUGUACAGUAUUUCCAACUCUGACACUGUAUUAGUGUCCUCCUGAAGCCAUUCAGCAUGAGACUUGAGUCAGAAGUGUAAGAAUCGGCAAGAACUCAAAUAGUGUGGGUUUGCAAAUUACACGAUGGCACAGGGGCAAAGCCCUAGGAAGAUGUGGUAAGUCUAACUCAGAAGAAAUAGUAAGGUAUCAAAAUUUAAAAUAACACUGGGAAAUUAAUUAUCUUUAUGUGCAUAUGCAAAAGCCUACUAGUGAAUAUAAAGGUAGAGAAACUCCACCAAAAAAUUGCAUUGAAAAUAUAAAAUUGCAGCCAGGUGGUGUUGGUGCACACCUUAAUCCCAGCACUCGGAGGUAGAGGCAGGUGGAUCUCUGAGAUUGAGGCCAGUCUGGUCUACAGAGUGAGUUCCAAUUCAGCCAGGGUUACAUAGAGAAACCCCGUC
Long non-coding RNA from Peromyscus californicus insignis, 5678 nucleotides. RefSeq lists it as uncharacterized. The record is from RefSeq and is a predicted model, not a curated record. NCBI's taxonomy places the organism in Eukaryota, Metazoa, Chordata, Mammalia, Rodentia, Cricetidae. The transcript is spliced from 4 exons.